This 441-nucleotide ribosomal RNA is filed under the name uncultured bacterium. Its description in RNAcentral is "bacterial SSU rRNA". It matches the Rfam family "Bacterial small subunit ribosomal RNA", at positions 958 to 1398 of the family's 1533-position model. The record is from RNAcentral.
AACGCGAAGAACCUUACCUGGGCUCGAAAUGUAGUGGAAUGGGGUGGAAACAUCCCCGUCUCGCAAGAGACUGCUAUAUAGGUGCUGCAUGGCUGUCGUCAGCUCGUGUCGUGAGAUGUUGGGUUAAGUCCCGCAACGAGCGCAACCCUUAUUACCUGUUGCUAACGCGUAAUGGCGAGGACUCGGGUGAAACUGCCUGGGAUAACCAGGAGGAAGGUGGGGAUGACGUCAAGUCCUCAUGGCCUUUAUGUCCAGGGCUACACACGUGCUACAAUGGUCGGUACAAACCGUCGCGAACCCGCGAGGGGGAGCUAAUCGCAAAAAAGCGCGCUCAGUUCGGAUUGCAGUCUGCAACUCGACUGCAUGAAGCCGGAAUCGCUAGUAAUGGCGCAUCAGAACGGCGCCGUGAAUACGUUCCCGGGCCUUGUACACACCGGAGUA